Molecule: long non-coding RNA, 744 nt
Filed under: Salvia miltiorrhiza (redroot sage)
Lineage: Eukaryota; Viridiplantae; Streptophyta; Magnoliopsida; Lamiales; Lamiaceae
Description: long non-coding RNA (SMIL_LNC013033)
Source: RNAcentral
UCAGUAGCAUGUAUUUUAAUCCAACAAUAUCAAGUUGUUGUCUACAACACAUUUCAACUGUUACCAUUAAAAUUUAUAUUCGGCAGAAAGAGUUAUAUUAAAUAAAUCCAACAUAUUAUUUAAUUCACAAAACUGGAAUAAAAGUAUAAUUUUCGCCGUCCGUUGGAAUAACAUAAAAAAUUUAUACUACAAUAACUAUCACACACACAGCUAGAACUACUGCGAAUUAACAAUCUCAAAUAAAUUUAUUUACUUGAAAACGCAAAAAAAAAAGAAAAAAAACUUAACUACCCACAAAAACACAGAUGUUUACUUUAUAAUAUUACACAUCAUUUCUUCAGACGCUAGGAUUACAGAUUUACAGUUGCUUCAAAAAUUACAAAGAAAACGACUAAAGUGUUUAUGAAUGAACUCGGAAAAAAAUUCUGUUGUACGAAAAACUACCAGCUACAAUCCAACGGUGAGUAAAAAAAAGGAGUAAAUAUCUAAGUAAACAUGAGUGCGAAACGUGUCCUACAAAAUUCAAAAAUACAAAGGGAGUGCUAUGGAAGAAUAGGGACACGUGGAAACAUCUGAAUAUGGGAGUGGUAUUUCAAAAAAACAGUCAAAAUGGGUUGGGUGGUAUUUGACAAUUGCAACUCGAACCGGUCGAAGAAAACCAAACCAAAAGUCACUUUAUUAACAAUACACGUGUAAGGAUCCUAACGGCAAUGUGUAUUACACAUUGUGUAGCUAAGACAUUUC